Molecule: ribosomal RNA, 735 nt
Filed under: uncultured Arcobacter sp.
Lineage: Bacteria; Pseudomonadati; Campylobacterota; Epsilonproteobacteria; Campylobacterales; Arcobacteraceae
Description: bacterial SSU rRNA
Rfam family: Bacterial small subunit ribosomal RNA
Source: RNAcentral
AGUGAACGCUGGCGGCGUGCUUAACACAUGCAAGUCGAACGAGAACGGAUUAUAGCUUGCUAUAAUUGUCAGCUAAGUGGCGCACGGGUGAGUAAUAUAUAGGUAACGUGCCCCAAAGAAGAGGAUAACAGAUGGAAACGCCUGCUAAGACUCUAUAUGCCUUUAUGACAUAAGUCAGCAAGGGAAAUAUUUAUAGCUUUGGGAUCGGCCUGUACAGUAUCAGUUAGUUGGUGAGGUAAUGGCUCACCAAGACAAUGACGCUUAACUGGUUUGAGAGGAUGAUCAGUCACACUGGAACUGAGACACGGUCCAGACUCCUACGGGAGGCAGCAGUGGGGAAUAUUGCACAAUGGACGAAAGUCUGAUGCAGCAACGCCGCGUGGAGGAUGACACAUUUCGGUGCGUAAACUCCUUUUAUAUGGGAAGAUAAUGACGGUACCAUAUGAAUAAGCACCGGCUAACUCCGUGCCAGCAGCCGCGGUAAUACGGAGGGUGCAAGCGUUACUCGGAAUCACUGGGCGUAAAGAGCGUGUAGGCGGAUAGGUAAGUCAGAAGUGAAAUCCAAUAGCUCAACUAUUGAACUGCUUUUGAAACUGCUUAUCUAGAAUAUGGGAGAGGUAGAUGGAAUUUCUGGUGUAGGGGUAAAAUCCGUAGAGAUCAGAAGGAAUACCGAUUGCGAAGGCGAUCUACUGGAACAUUAUUGACGCUGAGACGCGAAAGCGUGGGGAGCAAACA